CACUGGCUUGCAAGGGAA
RNAcentral lists this unclassified non-coding RNA (18 nucleotides) under Mus musculus (house mouse). RNAcentral describes it as "oocyte_clustered_small_RNA13526". The record is from RNAcentral. Lineage: Eukaryota; Metazoa; Chordata; Mammalia; Rodentia; Muridae.